GAAGUGUUGAUGCCAAAACAAUGAAGAAUACACAUCUCAUUGGUGGCAUUGAAGAGAAGGGAGACAUAGUUGGAGUAACAAAUGUGAAGCUGCUAGAUGCAAGGUUGAAAUUAUUUUUGAGAAACAAGACCAAGUGGCAUGAAGAGGGAAUUAUGAUUCCUGCAAGGAAGAACAAAAGAGGAGAGUGUGUCACUAAAGCAUCAUCCUCACAAGUUCAUCAAGAUGAGGAAGAAGAAGAACAACUACUUCCUCCUAGCUCUGAUUAUUGGAGAGCUGAGUUCUAGAAUGCAACAAGUCAUGAAGCACCCACAGAAGGAUGGAACUAGUAGGAGUGGCAAGAUGCGCUAGUACAAGCCUAGUUAGGAGGCCCUUAUGCACAUCAAGAAUACCAGCAGUCGGCAUAUCAGCCACCACCAUAUU
RNAcentral lists this long non-coding RNA (420 nucleotides) under Setaria viridis. Its description in RNAcentral is "long non-coding RNA (SVIR_LNC007040)". Lineage: Eukaryota; Viridiplantae; Streptophyta; Magnoliopsida; Poales; Poaceae. The record is from RNAcentral.